UCCGGUUUGACACCGGCAGUCUCGUUAGAGUCCCCGACAUGACUCGCUGGCAACUAACGACAGGGGUUGCGCUCGUUGAGGGACUUAACCCAACACUUCACAGCACGAGCUGACGACAGCCAUGCAGCACCUGUGCACGUUCCACCCGAGGGCGUCACUCCUGUUUCCAGAAGCUAAUCCGUGCAUGUCAAGCCCAGGAUAAGGUUCUUCGCGUUGCUUCGAAUUAAGCAACAUGCUCCACCGCUUGUGUGAGCCCCCGUCAAUUCCUUUGAGUUUUAGCCUUGCGACCGUACUCCCCAGGCGGCGCACUUAGUGCUUUUACUACGGCCGUGACCGGGUCAGACCGGCCACGACCUAGUGCGCAUCGUUUACGGCGUGGACUAC
RNAcentral lists this unclassified non-coding RNA (384 nucleotides) under uncultured Phycisphaeraceae bacterium. Its description in RNAcentral is "contains 16S-23S intergenic spacer region". Lineage: Bacteria; Pseudomonadati; Planctomycetota; Phycisphaerae; Phycisphaerales; Phycisphaeraceae. The record is from RNAcentral.